RNAcentral lists this microRNA (20 nucleotides) under Hordeum vulgare. RNAcentral's name for it is "hvu-miR6180". Lineage: Eukaryota; Viridiplantae; Streptophyta; Magnoliopsida; Poales; Poaceae. The record is from miRBase by way of RNAcentral.
AGGGUGGAAGAAAGAGGGCG